Sorex araneus (European shrew) is the source of this 2464-nucleotide long non-coding RNA. RefSeq lists it as uncharacterized. The record is from RefSeq and is a predicted model, not a curated record. The transcript is spliced from 3 exons. NCBI's taxonomy places the organism in Eukaryota, Metazoa, Chordata, Mammalia, Eulipotyphla, Soricidae.
GGGCGUGGAAGGGGACGAGGAUGACGAGGACACUUGUCGGGAUUGCAUACUGCACACAGGAUCCAUCGCGCCGCACGCAGCGGGCUGUGCAUUUAGUGUGGUUCCAUGAGCUGGUAUAAGCACUGAAUUAUCUGAGAGGCUAAUCAGAAAUGCUGAGUUCUGAGAUCUCUUGCAUCCAAAUCUGUAUGGACUUCAGAAAGACCCUCGCACAAGACUACAUUGUGAAGUCUCUGAGUUAAGUGUCUGCCUGUUCACUGGGUGCUGUGGCUCCUUACGGCCACCAGGUGGCAGUGGUGUAGAAGACAGAGCCUAGAGCCUUCACUGUUAAGAAAAAAAUUCUGGGAAAAGGAGAAUUCUACAUCACAGGAGAGAAAAUGUUAUUCUUUUUGUACACUGUUACUAGUUACUCUUUUAAAAAUCUUUGAAGGGACUGUAGCAAUCCUACAGUGGUAAAAUGUGUGCCUGGCACCCAGUGGACCCAGGUUUGAUCCUCAUAUGGUCCUCAGAGCAGAGCCUCGGGUAACCCUGAACACAUCUGAUCCAAACCAAACCAAAACAAAGUAACUUUUAAGUCAUUCAUUACCUUCUGGAUGAAGAGACAAACAGAAUAUUACAUUGGAUUGUGUUUUUGCAUAAAUGAACUCUGUAAAGAUAGACAAACAACUAAUAAAAAUGUUUCCAGUGGUGAGGGUGGGUGGGAAACAGGCUGUGGGAACAGGACUGGAAUCAGACAAUGUAGCUCUUUACAUUUAUCUUCAUUAGCGACACAAAGGUAUUACCAGUAUCAAUACUAAUAACCACCACAACAAAAGAGCUCUUAGAUCGCCAGAUCCCUCUCUAGAAGACCUGGGUACUCUGGAUCCCAGAUCAGAAUCUGGUAAGGGCAGGGCACUCCAGCAGACCUCAGCCAUUGCUGGAAAGCACAGCCAUCAACCGGUUACAUUUCCUCCAGCACCUGGUCUGUUCCUGUCUACCAGCUCUGAUCUGCCCCUGUCUGCGUUCAGCGUCUCACCAAGCACCCUCUUCUGUCUCCACUGGAUGACAUUUUAAAAUUAGAGGCUAUGUUAACAAAGAAAUGGUUUUCUUCCUCACUGAGAUCAAGAGAGUAAAAAGGUAGUCAGCCUCUAACACAAGCGAGAGGCAGUGAAAUCACAUACACGAUUAGACUUUUUAAAAGCACAUGGCACUCUGUGAUCUCUUUUAAACAUGCAUCUCUCUUUUCCCCUCUCACACUUCUCUAAGUAAAUUUCUUUCAAUAGAACUAUUUUGGUUCACUUUAAAAAUAAAAAAGGAAAGAAAAAAAGGGGGUGGGGGAGAAAAAGUUAAAAAGCAGGGUCUGGAAAGAUAGUACAGUACAGUAGGCAGGGUGUUUGCCAUGAAAAUGGUUCAAUCCCUGGCAUCCCAUUUGGUCCCCCAAGCACCAUCAGGAGUAAUUAAUUCCAGAGCAGGUGUGGCACCCAAACCAAAAAUAAAUUUAAAGAGGACAUGGCACAAAGAGAAAAAGCUCUUCACACAAGCCUCUAAGAGGAACUGUAGUCAUAUCCACCCAAAAUGUGGGCCAUGCAACACAAAUCAAUAUAAUGGAGAUAAAACAUUCUAAGGACUCUUCCAGGCUCUUAGGAACACAAUGAAUUCCAGGGUUAGGUAAGUUCAAUGCACUCUCGAAGUCCCACCUAAGCCUGAAGAAAAGGAAGUUAGUAUUUCAUGCACCUUAGGAUAUUCUGAUAUAGAGGGACCUCCCUCCCCCAACAAACCACUACCGUGAUUUUUUUUUCAAGGUUUUCAUAAAGAAAGAACAGGAGCCUCCUAGCAGUAAGAACCAGGAGAAAUGUCUUGGGUCUGGCAUUCUAAGUAAACAAACUGAGUCUUAUUAUCACGGAUAUAGUUCUUUGACUGUGGACUACUGGAGGCCUCUGACAGGCUCUUCCUGACUGACUUUAUCAAGACACCAAGCAGGCAGGUACACGUAUCUAACUGUACCCACAAGACAGAGAGAGGAUGUAGCUCCAGGAAAAGCCAGUCUCCUUUCCCCGUCUACCCGAGGAGCUGGGACAGGCACUCACUUCCACAGCUGCGCAUUCAGAUGCUUCUCCACCAUGAGGUUGAGGGCACAGCGAAGCCGAUUCCACCUGGAGUCAAACACGUAAUAGCCUCUUCCAAUCUGCCGACUCCCGAAUGUGCAAAACUGCAAGAGAGAGCACAGUGGCGGGUGCUUGCUACCAGAAAGGGUUCUCUCUUCCUCGGGAAAGGAGCUAACCAGGAAAGAUCAAAGCUUACUCUGAGGAGGGUAUGAAGCAUGAGCGUGACCGAUGCCUAGUCCUUCAUGAAGAGAAAGCGCACGCCACCUCGGGGGUGCCCUGUUCUCAGCUGCUCCUACACCUUGAAUGCAUCCCACUCGCUGGGACGGGCACACCCCCGCCCCCCUGCCCCGCUGCGGAGCCCUUGCCCUACUGAGUGAGAAAAG